UUCAAUCUUUGUUCUCCAGCAGCCAACCCACUUGCAAAGAGUAUUUCCAAGGCUUGUUAUUCACAUGCAAGAUCCCGGCAACACUACAGAACUCAGUGAAGAUGUGAAUGGUAUGGAAUCACUUCCCCAGCAGACUGAUCCUGCCUCCAUAAACUUGCCAUUAAAGGUUGGACUAAUAGAGAAGAGCCUGAGAACAGCUGCAAAUGCAUGUCUGUACUUGGGAAGACAAGCGGUCCUUGCAGGUUUCUCACGGAGCUGUGCAGCACUGGUGCUGAUUGUUAACACACCAGCUCAGUACUUUGUAUCUAAGACUAGCUCUAGACAGUGUUUUAUAUUUGCAGUGUUACACAUCACAGAAGUGGAUCCCAAUGAUUCUUUGCUCAGCAGUCCUGUUUCUCCACCUCAGUGAUAACCAAUGGACUUCACUCAGCAGAAGUUGUCCCUUUGGAUAUCUUCAGCUUAGACCAUUUCUGGCUGGUCUACAGUGCUGCCUUUGUAGUUAAAUACAAAUACUACAAAUGAGGAGGAUUUGGCUAGAUUUUACUCUUUGUAGCAGGGAUGGUCAAGAAAACCACUGCCCUGUCUUACAGUGGUGGCUUGGGUGACUACUUGGCUGCCUUCAAUUGGCAGCAGCAUUCAUCCCAGUUCUUCAAGCUCAGUUUCUUAAGGAGAACUGUAGGAUUCAAUCCAAAUUGAAAAUGAGUCUUCCACACUUCAGUCUGAGGAACAAAUUCUAGUGUCUGAGCCAUUUCUCUGGCUCCAGUCACAGGGAACGUUUCCAAGUACCCUACACAGCCCAAUACGUGCUCCCCUUGCAGACCACACGUGACUCAGCAACACAGGUUUGCCAUCCCUGUUACAUUUCCACUCUGUCACAAAGAGGCCAAAAGUUACCCUUAGAUGGAUGAAGCUAAAUGUCAUACUAAACUAUAGAAAUACAUUCAAAGACAUUUCUAAAACUUCUUCUUUAUGAAAUGCUGUUAAGGCAAGGUCUGAAUUACUGCAUCCAUUUUUGAUAGCCCACUUGAAGUAAGAGAUCUAGAGAACAGCAGGUUAUGAUCAAAGGAAUGGGGGAGAUUUAAUCUGGAAAGGAGAAGGCAGAGGGAAAACUGUAAGCUUCAUGUACAUAAAAUGCUACUGUAAAGCAGGGAACUCUUCCCAAUGCCUGUUGCAAUAGAACAGAAUUAAUGGCUUUGAUUGCACAAGGGAGAAGUGAAUUUGACGUAAUGAAAGCUUUCUAGUGGGAAGGUUAGUUUAGCACUCAAUGACUGCAUGUGGAAAAUGUGGAAUCUCCAUCUGUGGAGGUUUUUAAGAAGAGAUUGGACAAUUAUCUGGUCAGAACAGUUAAGGGGAGUGGAUUCAAGAAGCUCUCACAGCAUCUAUUUAUCCUAUAUUUACAGUCCUAGAAA
RNAcentral lists this long non-coding RNA (1409 nucleotides) under Cyanistes caeruleus (blue tit). RNAcentral describes it as "lncRNA (ENSCCEG00000001465.1)". The record is from RNAcentral. Lineage: Eukaryota; Metazoa; Chordata; Aves; Passeriformes; Paridae.